Molecule: signal recognition particle RNA, 273 nt
Filed under: Candidatus Woesearchaeota archaeon
Lineage: Archaea; Nanobdellati; Candidatus Woesearchaeota
Description: signal recognition particle sRNA
Rfam family: Archaeal signal recognition particle RNA
Source: RNAcentral
GGGUAGGCUAGACUGGGCGGUUAGCUCUCGCUUGUUAUCGCAAAUGAGCUAUAUGGUGAAGUCGAAUGCCUGAUUGAGGCUUUAAUCUUUAUUAUUGGUCUCAACUUGGACGUUGAUCCUUUGUCUCAUGGGAUCGUUGUUUUUGGGAAUCAAGUCAGAUCCGGAAGGAAGCAGCUUUUACCUUAAAUAUCGAUGCUUGUGAAUCGCAGAGAGGAGGAAAAGUUGAGGUCAACCCAAUAAUAUCGUUUAUUGUCGAUUUCAGGAUGCCUGCAU